This 253-nucleotide ribosomal RNA is filed under the name uncultured bacterium. RNAcentral's name for it is "partial 16S ribosomal RNA". It matches the Rfam family "Bacterial small subunit ribosomal RNA", at positions 524 to 776 of the family's 1533-position model. The record is from RNAcentral.
UACGUAGGGUGCAAGCGUUGUCCGGAAUCAUUGGGCGUAAAGAGCGUGUAGGCGGCCCGGUAAGUCCGCUGUGAAAGUCCAGGGCUCAACCCUGGGAUGCCGGUGGAUACUGUCGGGCUCGAGUCCGGAAGAGGAGUGUGGAAUUCCUGGUGUAGCGGUGAAAUGCGCAGAUAUCAGGAGGAACACCAAUUGCGAAGGCAGCUCGCUGGGACGUUACUGACGCUGAGACGCGAAAGCGUGGGGAGCAAACAGG